GGAUGAACGCUGGCGGCGUGCCUAAUACAUGCAAGUCGAACGAGUUCUCGUUGAUGAUCGGUGCUUGCACCGAGAUUCAACAUGGAACGAGUGGCGGACGGGUGAGUAACACGUGGGUAACCUGCCCUUAAGUGGGGGAUAACAUUUGGAAACAGAUGCUAAUACCGCAUAGAUCCAAGAACCGCAUGGUUCUUGGCUGAAAGAUGGCGUAAGCUAUCGCUUUUGGAUGGACCCGCGGCGUAUUAGCUAGUUGGUGAGGUAAUGGCUCACCAAGGCGAUGAUACGUAGCCGAACUGAGAGGUUGAUCGGCCACAUUGGGACUGAGACACGGCCCAAACUCCUACGGGAGGCAGCAGUAGGGAAUCUUCCACAAUGGACGCAAGUCUGAUGGAGCAACGCCGCGUGAGUGAAGAAGGCUUUCGGGUCGUAAAACUCUGUUGUUGGAGAAGAAUGGUCGGCAGAGUAACUGUUGUCGGCGUGACGGUAUCCAACCAGAAAGCCACGGCUAACUACGUGCCAGCAGCCGCGGUAAUACGUAGGUGGCAAGCGUUAUCCGGAUUUAUUGGGCGUAAAGCGAGCGCAGGCGGUUUUUUAAGUCUGAUGUGAAAGCCCUCGGCUUAACCGAGGAAGCGCAUCGGAAACUGGGAAACUUGAGUGCAGAAGAGGACAGUGGAACUCCAUGUGUAGCGGUGAAAUGCGUAGAUAUAUGGAAGAACACCAGUGGCGAAGGCGGCUGUCUGGUCUGUAACUGACGCUGAGGCUCGAAAGCAUGGGUAGCGAACAGGAUUAGAUACCCUGGUAGUCCAUGCCGUAAACGAUGAAUGCUAGGUGUUGGAGGGUUUCCGCCCUUCAGUGCCGCAGCUAACGCAUUAAGCAUUCCGCCUGGGGAGUACGACCGCAAGGUUGAACCUCAAAGGAAUUGACGGGGGCCCGCACAAGCGGUGGAGCAUGUGGUUUAAUUCGAAGCAACGCGAAGAACCUUACCAGGUCUUGACAUCUUUUGAUCACCUGAGAGAUCAGGUUUCCCCUUCGGGGGCAAAAUGACAGGUGGUGCAUGGUUGUCGUCAGCUCGUGUCGUGAGAUGUUGGGUUAAGUCCCGCAACGAGCGCAACCCUUAUGACUAGUUGCCAGCAUUUAGUUGGGCACUCUAGUAAGACUGCCGGUGACAAACCGGAGGAAGGUGGGGAUGACGUCAAAUCAUCAUGCCCCUUAUGACCUGGGCUACACACGUGCUACAAUGGAUGGUACAACGAGUUGCGAGACCGCGAGGUCAAGCUAAUCUCUUAAAGCCAUUCUCAGUUCGGACUGUAGGCUGCAACUCGCCUACACGAAGUCGGAAUCGCUAGUAAUCGCGGAUCAGCACGCCGCGGUGAAUACGUUCCCGGGCCUUGUACACACCGCCCGUCACACCAUGAGAGUUUGUAACACCCGAAGCCGGUGGCGUAACCCUUUUAGGGAGCGAGCCGUCUAAGGUGGGACAAAUGAU
Molecule: ribosomal RNA, 1486 nt
Filed under: uncultured organism
Description: 16S ribosomal RNA
Rfam family: Bacterial small subunit ribosomal RNA
Source: RNAcentral